GCGUGAGUGAUGAAGGCCUUAGGGUUGUAAAGCUCUUUUACCGGGGACGAUGAUGACGGUACCCGGAGAAUAAGCCCCGGCUAACUUCGUGCCAGCAGCCGCGGUAAUACGAAGGGGGCGAGCGUUGUUCGGAGUUACUGGGCGUAAUGGCGCGUAGGCGGCGCUCCAAGUUAGGCGUGAAAGCCCCGGGCUCAACCUGUGAAUUGCGCUUAAGACUGGAGUGCUCGAGUGCGGAAGAGGUGAGUGGAAUUCCCAGUGUAGAGGUGAAAUUCGUAGAUAUUGGGAAGAACACCAGUGGCGAAGGCGGCUCACUGGUCCGCAAAUGACGCUGAGGCGCGAAAGCGUGGGGAGCAAACAGGAUUAGAAACCCUGGUAGUCCACGCCGUAAACGAUGAGUGCUAGACGUAGGGGAACUUAAUUCCUUGGUGUCGAAGCUAAGCGCAUGAAGCACUCCGACAUGAGGAGUACGGACGCAAAGUUAAAACUCAAAGGAAUUGACGGGGGCCCGGACAAGCGGUGCAGCAUGUGGUUUA
RNAcentral lists this ribosomal RNA (533 nucleotides) under uncultured bacterium. Its description in RNAcentral is "bacterial SSU rRNA". It matches the Rfam family "Bacterial small subunit ribosomal RNA", at positions 399 to 948 of the family's 1533-position model. The record is from RNAcentral.